AGUGAACGCUGGCGGUAGGCCUAACACAUGCAAGUCGAACGGCAGCACAGUAAGAGCUUGCUCUUACGGGUGGCGAGUGGCGGACGGGUGAGGAAUACACCGGAAUCUACUUUUUCGUGGGGGAUAACGUAGGGAAACUUACGCUAAUACCGCAUACGACCUACGGGUGAAAGCAGGGGAUCUUCGGACCUUGCGCGAUUGAAUGAGCCGAUGUCGGAUUAGCUAGUUGGAGGGGUAAAGGCCACCAAGGCGACGAACCGUAGCUGGUCUGAGAGGAUGAUCAGCCACACUGGAACUGAGACACGGUCCAGACUCCUACGGGAGGCAGCAGUGGGGAAUAUUGGACAAUGGGCGAAAGCCUGACCCAGCCAUACCGCGUGGGUGAAGAAGGCCUUCGGGUUGUAAAGCCCUUUUGUUGGGAAAGAAAAGCAGCAGGUUAAUACCCCGCUGUUCUGACGGUACCCAAAGAAUAAGCACCGGCUAACUUCGUG
This 491-nucleotide ribosomal RNA is filed under the name uncultured bacterium. RNAcentral's name for it is "partial 16S ribosomal RNA". It matches the Rfam family "Bacterial small subunit ribosomal RNA", at positions 29 to 507 of the family's 1533-position model. The record is from RNAcentral.